This 200-nucleotide ribosomal RNA is filed under the name uncultured bacterium. RNAcentral describes it as "partial 16S ribosomal RNA". It matches the Rfam family "Bacterial small subunit ribosomal RNA", at positions 29 to 257 of the family's 1533-position model. The record is from RNAcentral.
AGCGAACGCUGGCGGCAGGCCUAAUACAUGCAAGUCGAGCGGUUCCUUCGGGAACAGCGGCGGACGGGUGAGUAACGCGUGGGAACGUGCCCUUUGGUACGGAACAACUGAGGGAAACUUCAGCUAAUACCGUAUGUGCCCUUCGGGGAAAGAUUUAUCGCCAUUGGAGUGGCCCGCGUUAGAUUAGCUAGUUGGUGGGG